GUGUCAGCAGCCGCGGUAAUACGUGGGGUGCAAGCGUUGUUCGGAAUUACUGGGCGUAAAGCGCGUGUAGGCGGCCAAACGGGUCCGGUGUGAAAGCCCUCGGCUUAACCGAGGAAGUGCGCCGGAAACUAUUUGGCUAGAGUGCAGGAGAGGAGGACGGAAUUCCCAGUGUAGAGGUGAAAUUCGUAGAUAUUGGGAGGAACACCGGCGGCGAAAGCGGUUCUCUGGACUGUAACUGACGCUGAGACGCGAAAGCGUGGGGAUCAAACAGGAUUAGAAACCCCCGUAGUCC
Molecule: ribosomal RNA, 292 nt
Filed under: uncultured bacterium
Lineage: Bacteria
Description: partial 16S ribosomal RNA
Rfam family: Bacterial small subunit ribosomal RNA
Source: RNAcentral